UGGUCCCUCUCUCAGGGGACACACAGCCCUCUGUGGCAGCAUGGAUUAGCAGUAAGAUAGGUAAAAUAGGAGAAGUAUAGGACUGACGACAUCUAUCUUGCUAACAAACAUUAAGCAGACACUCAAGUUCUGAUGCCUUCUAUGUAUAUGGUCAGAGCACCAAAAAACAGCAUGGAGCAUAUUUGUUUGUACUUGGCGUUGGCUUUCUCAGUGAAGUGGAGCAGCAGUGUUGACCACCAGCAAACAGGCGGCUAAUAAACAAAGAUCAAAACUCACAGGUUACUCCCUCCAGAAAACCAUCCUUGAACAUGGAAGAAUGGUUAGCGAGAUGCAAUGUUGCUGGCUUUGAAGAUGGAGGGGAACGUGAGCCAAGGACAUGCGCAGGCUCUACAAGCUUGAAAAUGAAAGAAAACCAUUGUCCCCUGAAGCCUCCAGAGAGAAAUGCAGCCUUAUCAACAUCUUGUCUUUAUUUAGAUCUGCGAAACACUACAGAUCUGUAAAUAUAAAUCUGUGCCGCUUUAAGCCAGCAA
Non-coding RNA from Macaca mulatta (Rhesus monkey), 530 nucleotides. The record is from RefSeq and is a predicted model, not a curated record. NCBI's taxonomy places the organism in Eukaryota, Metazoa, Chordata, Mammalia, Primates, Cercopithecidae.